This is a long non-coding RNA of Uranotaenia lowii, 945 nucleotides long. RefSeq lists it as uncharacterized. The record is from RefSeq and is a predicted model, not a curated record. NCBI's taxonomy places the organism in Eukaryota, Metazoa, Arthropoda, Insecta, Diptera, Culicidae. The transcript has 4 exons.
CAUGUUUAGUGAUAAGUUUUGUGUAGCAAUCUAACGGUAAAUUCCUUCUCGACAAAUUGAUCUUGUGUUUUGUUUUGCUCCUUAUUUCGUUUCUAUUUUUCUUCUCCUGUGUAGUGUAGUGCGGGUGUGGGUAGUGUAGUGUGGUAAAUGCUGAACUGGAACCGCUUGCUGGAGCUCAAAGAUGUUCUCGCGAUUUGGAGGACCUUGGAGUUGCUGCUGGAUGCUGGUUAGAUGCUGCUACGAUGAUGAUUUGCCAUGCUCAGUUAGCCGCGCGAAGUGGAUCGUGGAAACGGAGUACACCGGGCACUCUUUCGAUGGACCUGCAGUAGAGCCUUGUCCUAUGGUAUUUCUCAACCUGAUGGUUAGCUGAUUCCUUCUUCCAGGGUUGUUGUGUGACGAAGAUGCUAGGAAAUGCUUCUGGCCGGCGAUAUGUAGCUGACGUUAACGAUAUUUGGUGCACCGGUACAACGAUAUAUUAGGUGCACCAAAUUAGCUCUGGAACUAUGCGAGGAUGACAGAGGGUUGGGUGCUCGCAGGAACUCAUGCAAACAGGUUCUGCUGCUGAUUGGACCAAUUCAUGGGAUGUUGUUACUUCUCGAUGAACUGGCUAGCUUGUCGCGGGCCGAUGUGAAUCCGAAUCUGCCCAGUGGAACGUCGUGUGAUGGUGGGUUGAUCGGCGAAUUGACACAGCAAUACUUGGGCCACCAAGGAUGGGUACUUCUGUUGACGGGCGAUGAAUCUGCCAGAUUACUUGUUCUGGCCGGCAGGAGAUUUUUCCAUGUCGUGUGGCUCAGCAUGAAAAUAACUACACGCAGCUGUAGUGGCGCUCUGGCCUGACCUGAUCUUCAGAUGAAAUGUGGACCAUGGAAUAGAUUCGCACAAUUUGGAGCCUCACGAAUGUGCGAUGGUUGUUUUGUCGAUAGAUGGAGGCAUACCUGGGUGCAA